This 331-nucleotide unclassified non-coding RNA is filed under the name Hevea brasiliensis (rubber tree). The record is from RNAcentral. Lineage: Eukaryota; Viridiplantae; Streptophyta; Magnoliopsida; Malpighiales; Euphorbiaceae.
GAAAAGCUUAACUUGAUAUAGCAAUAGAAAUAGGGAAUAGAAACUUAUAUAGCUGUAUUUUCAAUUUAGGUAAAAUGAUUAAAUGAAGAGCAAAAGGAAAAUGUUAAUUCAAGUUGCAACCAAAAUAUGUUUCCAUAAAUCUCAUGGGCUACUGAAUAGUAAAGUCUGCUAGCGGCUAACACAAAUCCACCAAAUUAGAUAAAAAUAUUUUAGAGCUUUAACUCUUUAAAUUCGACGAAAAUGGGCCAAAAACAGGUUGCCAGAUCAGGGGCUAAAAAUUGAAAAUGGAAGCCAAGGAAUGAAAGAACAUAUACCGUCUCCUCGGUUGUUG